Aedes aegypti (yellow fever mosquito) is the source of this 82-nucleotide non-coding RNA. The record is from Rfam. Lineage: Eukaryota; Metazoa; Arthropoda; Insecta; Diptera; Culicidae.
GCCCAGAUAGCCGUAGCGGUAAACGCGCAGCUAUUCAGCAUGACUAAGCUGAGGGUCGUGGGUUCGAAUCCCACCGUGGGUU